RNAcentral lists this small RNA (73 nucleotides) under Pongo abelii (Sumatran orangutan). Its description in RNAcentral is "processed transcript". Lineage: Eukaryota; Metazoa; Chordata; Mammalia; Primates; Hominidae. The record is from RNAcentral.
CUAUGAUGCCCCACUGAGUGAGGCUGGGGACCUCACUGAGAAGUAUUUUGCUCUGCGAAACAUUAUCCAGAAG